RNAcentral lists this long non-coding RNA (1508 nucleotides) under Echeneis naucrates (live sharksucker). Its description in RNAcentral is "lncRNA (ENSENLG00000007614.1)". The record is from RNAcentral. Lineage: Eukaryota; Metazoa; Chordata; Actinopteri; Carangiformes; Echeneidae.
UAAGUUUUCAAUUUGUCCCCACUAACAACAGGCCUGGCAGAACUGGAAGUAUCAUAUUUUAGGGUGAGCGACAAGGUGAAGCCGAUAUGUAAUUGAGGGAAAUUGCAGAAUAUCAGGACCUCUCAGAACGAAUCUCAUUACUUAGAACACAGACAUUAAAUUCAGCUCAACUGUUUGGUUGAUUCUGAGAACUGUGAUUCAAAGACAUUUUAAAAUAAAUCCCUAGUACUGGUGAUGUGCAACAUUUCCUUGCACACCCAUGUUUGUUUCCUCCUGUAGUGAAUCUUUUUAGGCAACGCACUAAUAAAUGUAUAGAAAAAUUCCAGGGUUUAUUAGUCAUUACUGAAUGAAACACUGCAAACCAACAACUGUUGCAACUGUUGUUGGCUCCUAACAUGUUCCCAAGUGUUUCACGCUAACUGAAGAAUGUUGUUUGGUCACUUGACACAGGGAAGUACAGGCAGACCGGUAGAAAUCGUUGUCUCAGUGUAGUCGCAGUUCAGAUUUCCCUUCAGCGCCUAAUCAUUAUGAUUUCAAGACUCUUGUACAAUUUUGGGUGUGUUUUGUGUGUGAUCCUGCUCCCGGCUGUAUGGGCUGAGGACUGCCGUGACUUCACGGAGAGGGGUAGUUCUUACCGUGAGCCUCUGAAAUGUGGCCCGCAGUACUGCUGUGAGAAAAGGGGCAAAAUCUACUGCUGCAGUGAAGAGGAAAACCGUGUCUUUUACCAGGAAGAAGGCCACUUUGAAAGGCUUUCUGUAAGAUCCACCUUCCCUCCCAUUAUCUUCAUCUUGAUUGGUAUUAUAGUCAUUUGUAUAAUUGUGGUCCUGAUAGUCUGCUUUGCGUGCCCCUGCUGCUUGUUGUACAAACAGUGUCAAAAAAGGCACAAUGGAACAAGACAAGCUGUGGUAACCACCACUGUCAUCGGCACAAGCCAGCUGCCUCUCUCACCCUCUGGAUAUCACCCAUCUUACCAGCCUGUGCCUGCCCCGCACGGACAAGGAGGCCCAACCCCACCUUCAUACCUGGAAGCUACUUAUUCCGCAGUUCCAUAUCCUCAGCAGCAGCCAAUGUACCCCGUCCCACCUCCUGGCCAGAAUUACCACCUGCCACCUCUUUCCGAUGAAUUUGUACAAUUGCCUUACAACCCGGCUUAUGGUCCAGACCCCUGAAGCAGAUAUAUGACCCGAUAACAACACAUUAUCGGGUGUUGGGUUAUAUUUAAACCGCAGAAACAGCUUUGUGGGAUCUCAAAUUAAAUAUAUCUGGUUAAAAUUCCUCAUUAUAAUUUAAACUGGACAAAAUGUUUUUCUUCCUCUAGAAACUGCUGAGCUUUAUGUGUAUACGUUAAUGGAUUAUAAUUUCAGUCAUUUAAAUUUGCUAUACAAGCAUAAAUGUUGAUAAUGUUUAAAUAAAAAAAAACUUCACACUGUGUUAUAAGUUAAAUAAAUAACUUAAAUAACCUUUUUAAGUGUUUAUUCAUGAAAAAGUGUUAAAAUUAUUACUGUUUC